Schistosoma haematobium is the source of this 48-nucleotide non-coding RNA. The record is from Rfam. NCBI's taxonomy places the organism in Eukaryota, Metazoa, Platyhelminthes, Trematoda, Strigeidida, Schistosomatidae.
AUCCAGCUGACGAGUCCCAAAUAAGACGAAACUCGCCUUGUCCUGGAU